AAUCUACACUUAGUAUUAAAAUAAAUUGUAACAUAACAGUACAUAUCUUACUACAUUGGAUGACUAACAAUAUAAGACAGUAGACAUUAUUGGCUUUCUUGGGGCUACUCAUUCACUUAAAAUAAUUUGAAAUAAAUAUAAGCCAAAAUCUACAUUUCACCCCUAUGUUCUAUUUUUAGCCAUGGCGGCCAACUUGGUUGGUUGGCCGGCUCGAGCCACACAUUUUUUAAACUAGAUACCCCAAUGAUGAUUGUGGCCAAGUAGUUUCAGAGUUUCGGGCCAGGUGAGCUAAAAAACGAGAAACUAGAAACAUGUAUAAAUUACAUAAACAAACGACAACUACUGUACAUCAGAUUCCUGACUUAGGACAGGUGCAAACAUUUGCAGCGGGAUUAAAUGUUUUAACGGUACCAAACCUUCUCCCUUUUUCUGAAACAAUAGUAUAACAUCACAACAUAGAAAAACACACGGUAAAAUAUCAAUUGGAAGGCUUAACUCAUAAAAAACGUAAAUUAACACACUAUGAACGAAUAAAUUUGAUCUGCGAUACCUGAAUGCAUUGAUACCGUAAAUCUUCGUAGCUCCAAGUUUUGAUUCAUAUAGGUGCAACCCUACACCUGAAUUGUAAAUAUGCUCUACGUUGAGCGGGAGAUAACAGAUUUUUAAAAUCAAGUUCACAAUUAAUUUCGGUUUUGAAUGUUCCAAAUCCUCCAUUUAUUACAUAUACCAUUUACAUACUCUAUGGAGAACAUCUGACCAUUUAGUUUUAUAAUCGGUUAAAAGUUAUAUUCUAUUUUUGCUAACACUGUCGUUUUAUGAAGGUUUGUGAAAUUAUACCAGUCACUAAUACUACAAGCAUACCCACUAUUACCAGUCACUUAUAUUACACGAAUACCGACUAGGUUUGUUUUUGCGUUUGUUGCACAUGGAAAUCUUUCAAGAUUUUUUUUAUUAUCGAUCAUCAAUUUAUGUUGGUUUUUUUAUCUUUAUUCGAUCAUCAAUUUAUGUGUUCAGAUGUCAUUGUUUUAUUCAAUGAUUUUUCAGUUUAUCUGACUUCUUCUUUAUUCUAAGGUAAUCCUUUGAUGAAGAAAAAGCAUCUAACAAAUAAACAGUAAAUAACUUUUUUUUUUUAAAUAAUUAAUAUACGCUAAGUGUAAGAAAUGUGUUUUCUUUACAACAAAAUACAGGUAAAUCUUAAAUUAAAAAUUAACCUUGAUUGUUAAAAAAACAAAUUAAUUAUCAAAACAUCUAUUGUUCUCUGUAUGUGGGAAUAGAAGGAAUAGUGAGUUUUAAAAAGUGACACCAGCAAAAUCUAUAGACAACAAUAGCUUACUGGGUUAUAGUCUCAGAAAUCAAUCAUUCAUAACAAUUCAAAUCAACACAAAUAUUAUGUCUGUACAUUACGUAACUGUAAACCGCGCUUGUACAAUACAACUCAAUUUCAGCUUAUCUCAACUGAUUACAAAAACAGAAAAAUAUUUGUAACCAGUAAGAAUAAGCAACACAAUUAUUUUAAUUAGAGUAAGCUGCUUCAAAUCAAUACAAAGACAUAAAUUUUAAUGCAAUUUACAAUGCAUCUUUAUUACGUGUAUUUUCAAGGUUAUCGGACAUUCCUAACGUGUAAAAAAGAUACGUCAGAUGUAAAAUUAUUUUCGAGGUUCUGAUUCAUUUUGCAAUAAACUGAUAGUAAACCAUUGGUUAAAAAAUUAGUUCCGGAUGACUAGUUCUAGAUAUCGGUCGUCUACUCCUCCAGUGUCAUACAUAUUAAAAAAAUACUAAUUAUUCCACGUCUCUCUCAAGUUUGUUAAGGCAUCCUGUAAAAGUCCAAUCUAUGAUUAAAAUUUCAAAACUCAACAGUUUUCACAAAUAUAUUACGUAUUGAAAUAAUGUUCAUGACCUUUUAUUUGUCUAGAAAUUGUUCAAAUAAAUUAUAUCGCUUAUGAAAAGCACCCUUCAUAAAACUGAAAAUGAGACUUAUCUAUCAACUAUUAGUUUAUUAUUUAAGCAACACAAGAUCAAGCGUUGGUAGAAAUUCAAACAAACAAAAACAAUUAAAUUAUGCUAUAUAUAAUAGUACACUGACUUUUAAUACUUUAUACAUUACUGACCUCAAGGUGGCAUUGAUGCAUACAAAGAAUAGCUUGAUAUAACACAAGUAUCCAGUAACAUAAUAUAGGAUGAGCAAAAUGCUUGAUAUGGGAUAUUUAGGUAAGGAAUGACUGUAUCUAAUAAUUUUUUUUAUGAAGAAAUAACAUCAAACAUGUGGUAAAUAACCCGUUAUUUUAAAGUGUGCAUCACAUUUGUUUUAUUUUUUUUCGAAUAGACAGAUAAAUAUCACAGUUAUUUCUUACAAUCUAAUUUUAAAUUCCAUUUUAAACCGAAUUAAACCAUGAAAAAAAACGUCAAUGAUGUCACAGUCACACGACACAAUUAUGUCUCAGAGCUAAUAAACAUUACAACGUCAGCCGAUCAUAAGACGCGUUUCAUCCAAAAUUUGAUAAUUAUUUGAUUGAGUGUUAUUUUUCUGGAUAAAGGAUUAUCAUAUUUUGUAUGGGAAUAUUUGAUAAAUUGAGGAUAAAAAUACUAAAAUGUUA
RNAcentral lists this long non-coding RNA (2594 nucleotides) under Mytilus galloprovincialis (Mediterranean mussel). The record is from RNAcentral. Lineage: Eukaryota; Metazoa; Mollusca; Bivalvia; Mytilida; Mytilidae.